UUAUUAUUAUAGCAUAAUUAUUAUUUAUAAAUUCUAAUAAAACAUUUAUCAACUUAGUAAAGGUGAUUAAAAUUUAGUUUAUAUGCUUAUGAUAAGUACUGUGAAGGAAUAAUUUUAAUUAAGUCUAAGAAAAAAUUAAAAUUUGUACCUUUUGCAUCAUGGUUUAGCUAGAUAUAAGUUUUAGCUAAAAUUUCUCGAAAUCUGAUGGGCUAUUUUUAUCUUGUAUAAUAGUAUAUAAUAAUUGAUUGUAGCAAAAAUCUUUUUAAAGAUAAAAAUUGAAAUGAAAUUUUAUUCGUAUCAGAGGAUAGCUAGUUCUUCUAAAAGGUAUAUAAGUACUUUAAAUUAAUUUAAUAUUGUAAAAUAUAUACAAAAUUAUUUUAGUUUAAUUGGGUUCUUAAGGAUAAGCUUAAAAACUUUUAUUAUAAUUACAUCUUUUUAAUUUAAAAAUUUAAGCUUGAAAAUAGCUAUAAUUUUGAUUUUGUUAUAAUUUCAUUUAAUUAAUUUAAAAAUAAUUAAUUUGUUUUAUAAAAAUGAAGAAAACUUUAUAACUUAAGUAAGUUGAAUCAAUGCUAAAAUGAGUAUUAUAUUAUUUUAAUAUUUUAAUAAUAUUAAUAUUAAAAUUACUAUAAAUUUAUUAAAAUUAAGUCGUACUAAGGAACUCGGCAAAUUUAUAUUCUGCCUGUUUAGCAAAAACAUCGCUCCUUGAUAUUAUUAUAUAAGGAGUUGGACCUGCCCAGUGAUUUAUUUUAACGGCCGCGGUACUCUGACCGUGCAAAGGUAGCAUAAUCAUUUGCCUUAUAAUUGAAGGCUAGUAUGAAAGGUUUAACAAGAAUAUUACUGUCUCAAUACGAUUAAUUAGAAUUUUAUUUUUAGGUGAAGAAGCCUAAAUUAAAUUAAUAGACAAGAAGACCCUAUCGAGCUUUAAAUAAUUAUGAAGACUAUUUAUUGAUAAAUUUAAAAAAUUAGCUUCUAAAAAUUUUAGUUGGGGCGACUAAGGAACAAUUAAAGCUUCCUUAAUUAAAUUAUUAUGUUCAAAUAUUGAUCCAUAAAAUUAUGAUUAAUGGAAUUAGUUACCGUAGGGAUAACAGCAUAAUCUUUUUUAAGAGCUCUUAUCGAAAAAAAGGUUUGUGACCUCGAUGUUGGACCAAAAUAUCCUAAAGAUGCAGCAGUCUUUAAUGGUUGGUCUGUUCGACCAUUAAAAUUUUACGUGAUCUGAGUUCAGACCGGCGUAAGCCAGGUCAGUUUCUAUCUUUAAUUUUAUAAAUAAAUUUAGUACGAAAGGACCAGUUUAUUAUAAAAAAUAUUAAAAACGAAAUAAUUUAAUUAUGUAUUAAA
Molecule: ribosomal RNA, 1335 nt
Filed under: Anentome sp. YY-2021
Lineage: Eukaryota; Metazoa; Mollusca; Gastropoda; Neogastropoda; Nassariidae
Description: 16S ribosomal RNA
Rfam family: Archaeal large subunit ribosomal RNA (bases 619-1335)
Source: RNAcentral